Molecule: non-coding RNA, 374 nt
Organism: Arachis ipaensis
Lineage: Eukaryota; Viridiplantae; Streptophyta; Magnoliopsida; Fabales; Fabaceae
Source: RefSeq, a predicted model, not a curated record
AGCAGAUGAGUAAAAAAAUAAAAAAUAACAAUUUCAAAAGAUGUGGUAGUACAGGUAGAAGAGCAUCUAGUAGUGUAUCACCUUGUUCAUUGUUGACUAUUGCAUGGAUUUACCAAGUUUAAGGUAUUCCAAGUUGCUUCAAAGAUGCUUUCAUUAUGAGUUAAAUUAUAAACGCCCAAGAAAAUCUUAAUCUAUCUUUUUUCGUUUUUCCCCCUAGUUUUACUCCUAAGAUGACAUUCAAUUGAUGGCACAACAGCAAAAUACAUUCCUUUACAGCAAAGUAUAACGGAUGUCGGCGAAUGGAAUAUCAUUAAGCACACAGCAUCGACUAGUCCCUAUUACUUAGUUGGGUUAAGAAUUAUCAUUAGUUAUGA